RNAcentral lists this ribosomal RNA (1423 nucleotides) under metagenome. Its description in RNAcentral is "bacterial SSU rRNA". It matches the Rfam family "Bacterial small subunit ribosomal RNA". The record is from RNAcentral.
AGAGUUUGAUCCUGGCUCAGAACGAACGCUGGCGGCGUGCCUCAUACAUGCAAGUCGAGCGAGAAAGUUUCCUUCGGGGAAUGAUUAAAGCGGCAAACGGGUGAGUAACACGUGGGAAAUCUGCCCUUAGGUUCGGGACAAGCCCUCGAAAGGGGGUCUAAUACCGGAUAACGUCAUUAGGCCGCAUGACCUGAUGACCAAAGUGGUAACACGCCUGUGGAUGAUCCCGCGCCCCAUUAGCUUGUUGGUAAGGUAACUGCUUACCAAGGCUCCGAUGGGUAGCCGGCCUGAGAGGGUGAUCGGCCACACUGGGACUGAGAUACGGCCCAGACUCCUACGGGAGGCAGCAGUAGGGAAUAUUGCGCAAUGGCCUAACGGCUGACGCAGCAACGCCGCGUGGAUGAUGAAGCUUUUCGGAGUGUAAAAUCCUUUCAGUGGGGAAGAAUGGGUCUUCGGACCCUUGACGGUACCCACAAAAGAAGCACCGGCUAACUCCGUGCCAGCAGCCGCGGUAAUACGGGGGGUGCAAGCGUUGUUCGGAUUUACUGGGCGUAAAGCGCACGCAGGCGGACUGUCAAGUCAGAUGUGAAAACCAGGGGCUCAACCCCUGGCCUGCAUUUGAAACUGACAGCCUUGAGUACCGGAGAGGAUGGCGGAAUUCCUGGUGUAGCGGUGAAAUGCGUAGAUAUCAGGAAGAGCACCGGUGGUAAGGCGGCCAUCUGGACGGAUACUGACGCUCAGGUGCGAAGGCUAGGGGAGCAAACAGGAUUAGAUACCCUGGUAGUCCUAGCGGUAAACGAUGGGCACUAGGUGUUGGCGGUAUCGACCCCGCCAGUGCCGCAGCUAACGCAUUAAGUGCCCCGCCUGGGGAGUACGACCGCAAGGUUGAAACUCAAAGGAAUUGACGGGGGCCCGCACAAGCGGUGGAGUAUGUGGAUUAAUUCGACGCAACGCGAAGAACCUUACCUGGGUUUGACAUGUACAGGAAAACUACAGAGAUGUAGUCCCCUCUUCGGAGGUCUGUACACAGGUGCUGCAUGGCUGUCGUCAGCUCGUGCCGUGAGGUGUUGGGUUAAGUCCCGCAACGAGCGCAACCCUUGUCCUUAGUUGCCAUCAGGUUAUGCUGGGCACUCUAAGGAGACUGCCGGUGACAAGCCGGAGGAAGGUGGGGAUGACGUCAAGUCCUCAUGGCCCUUACGUCCAGGGCUUCACACGUACUACAAUGGCCGGUACAGUGGGUGGCAAUGCCGCGAGGUGGAGCUAAUCCCCAAAACCGGUCUCAGUUCAGAUUGGAGUCUGCAACUCGACUCCAUGAAGGCGGAAUCGCUAGUAAUCGCAGAUCAGCACGCUGCGGUGAAUACGUUCCCGGGCCUUGUACACACCGCCCGUCAAGCCAUGGGAGUUGGGAGUACCCGAAAUCGCC